This 569-nucleotide ribosomal RNA is filed under the name bacterium amp-d-13. Its description in RNAcentral is "bacterial SSU rRNA". It matches the Rfam family "Bacterial small subunit ribosomal RNA", at positions 49 to 615 of the family's 1533-position model. The record is from RNAcentral.
CUACACAUGCAGUCGAGCGGUAGAGAGAAGCUUGCUUCUCUUGAGAGCGGCGGACGGGUGAGUAAUGCCUAGGAAUCUGCCUGGUAGUGGGGGAUAACGUUCGGAAACGGACGCUAAUACCGCAUACGUCCUACGGGAGAAAGCAGGGGACCUUCGGGCCUUGCGCUAUCAGAUGAGCCUAGGUCGGAUUAGCUAGUUGGUGAGGUAAUGGCUCACCAAGGCGACGAUCCGUAACUGGUCUGAGAGGAUGAUCAGUCACACUGGAACUGAGACACGGUCCAGACUCCUACGGGAGGCAGCAGUGGGGAAUAUUGGACAAUGGGCGAAAGCCUGAUCCAGCCAUGCCGCGUGUGUGAAGAAGGUCUUCGGAUUGUAAAGCACUUUAAGUUGGGAGGAAGGGUUGUAGAUUAAUACUCUGCAAUUUUGACGUUACCGACAGAAUAAGCACCGGCUAACUCUGUGCCAGCAGCCGCGGUAAUACAGAGGGUGCAAGCGUUAAUCGGAAUUACUGGGCGUAAAGCGCGCGUAGGUGGUUUGUUAAGUUGGAUGUGAAUCCCCGGGCUCAACCU